UCCCCAUUUUUGCUUCUUUAAUUAGGUAAAUUUUCUUCUUCCACUUCUUUCUUCCAAUUUUGUUUAUCAUAAUCUACCGUUAUCUUUGUAUGAAAAGUUGUUCUUCUGUGAUAGAAUGUCCAAGAAUUUUGUUUCCUCUCAAAGCUUAACCCAAUCGAGUAGAUGUAAUUGCGGACAGGUUACGAGUCAGUUACGGCCAAAACUCCCAUUAAUUUAUGGAGUUGCAUCUUGUGGCUAUUGGUAAUGGUGCGACGAAGAAUUUUCACCCCAUGUGGCAUUGAGGAUCAAUAAUUUGAGAGUUUAAUUGGAUGUUCGCCAUGAAAGAAAUAAUUUGAAGAAAACGGUGACUGAAAUGAUGGCGAAUUGUAUAUAUUGGAGAAGAAAGUGCAGAGAAUGAAGAUUUUUUUGCUAUUGUCGUGGUGUAUAUUUGUUGGUUUUGUAGCAGCUAACGUGAUAUAAUGGUGAUUAGUAGCUAUGUAAUAUCCAGAUUUAAAGCUAUGUAAAAGUACAGAUUUAAAGCUAUAAUUUUCAUGUAAUACUGGAUAUUUGAAGCUAAGUAGUUAGUAUGUCAAUUGAGGUAUCUUAAAAUACAAGAGGACUGUAUCAAUUUGUUUUUUACCAAGGUGUUUUGGUAUGGAGACAUUUUUGUGCAAUGUGAAACUAAAAAAUGGUUGUGUAA
Long non-coding RNA from Nicotiana tabacum (common tobacco), 679 nucleotides. RefSeq lists it as uncharacterized. The record is from RefSeq and is a predicted model, not a curated record. NCBI's taxonomy places the organism in Eukaryota, Viridiplantae, Streptophyta, Magnoliopsida, Solanales, Solanaceae.